GCUCAUUUGCCAAGCUCCAUCGAAAAUGUAUCAAAAUGGCUGCUAUGUCUCACAUCUCUGCAAUCAUUGACAAUCUCUGGUGCUGUACAAGUGGAUUUCUUACUGAAAAAUCUAAUAGUGCUUAAGAAUCUCAUCAAAAAGGACUGUGAAAGCUGCAUACUUUGAUUUUACAGUCGCUCACCUCGCUCAAAAGCUUGACUGUUGAAAACUGCCCAGACUCAGGGGAUUGUGUUGUUUUCUUAUCGCUGGAGGAGUUAUAUAUCGACAGGUGUCCCUCAAUGGUAUCUGGUGUCAGGAAGUGGUCAGCAAACAAGAUUACACACAUUGAGAAGAGAGCAAUAUUGUGACGAAGCAAGCAUGAUUCAGUAUGCCAAUCUUAUCUUCUUUGCAAAGUUGAUAAAUCCUCACUGGAGUUUGAGUGACCGUAAAAUGCAGGAAACACAGUAAUUCCUUGAUUCCGUUGAAGAUAAAAAUCAGGAUGAUCAGCAAUUAGUCGUGUAACAUCUUCAAGCUGAAACUCAAGUUGGGAAGGUGUUGGAUGGAUGUUAAAUCCGAGAUUUAUUCUUCCAACAAUGGAUACUUGACUGAAUGUCCCAGCUCUUUCCAUUGUCUACUCAAUAUCGUACAACACACAAGCUAUUCAUUUCUUUUAUCUUGUAAUCAUCCUUAGAGGGGGUGUUGCAAGAAUGUGCAAGAAAGCUUGAAAUGAAUCAGCUGAACAAUUACGUACAUGUAAAGUAAUCCUUAGAAGCUGGAUUCAUGAUAAUGUAUUCUUUGUUGAUUGUCCUACCUCUGAUUCAUUCCAUCAGCAAGACAACAACUAAUUCUGGAGGUGAUUAUGUAGGAUUUUGCUGCAUAUGCUGCAUGAAGAUUUUGCAAUUGACUCGCAUUGUUCCCCAUCAUGUAGUUGUUUGUGUUUGUAAGCUUUACCAUCUGUAUCUUAGCAUUGAAUUCUGCUGUAUAUAGAGAAUUGACUUAGAUUGAA
Long non-coding RNA from Ananas comosus (pineapple), 985 nucleotides. RefSeq lists it as uncharacterized. NCBI's taxonomy places the organism in Eukaryota, Viridiplantae, Streptophyta, Magnoliopsida, Poales, Bromeliaceae. The transcript has 2 exons. The record is from RefSeq and is a predicted model, not a curated record.